UGAGGAAUAUUGGUCAAUGGGCGGAAGCCUGAACCAGCCAAGUCGCGUGAGGGAAGACGGUCCUAUGGAUUGUAAACCUCUUUUGCCGGGGAGCAAAGCCAUUCUUGCGAGAGUGGCCGGAGAGUACCCGGAGAAAAAGCAUCGGCUAACUCCGUGCCAGCAGCCGCGGUAAUACGGAGGAUGCGAGCGUUAUCCGGAUUUAUUGGGUUUAAAGGGUGCGUAGGCGGGAUGAUAAGUCAGCGGUAAAAUUGCGGUGCUCAACGCCGUACCGCCGUUGAAACUGUCGUUCUUGAGUGGGCGAGAAGUAUGCGGAAUGCGUGGUGUAGCGGUGAAAUGCAUAGAUAUCACGCAGAACUCCGAUUGCGAAGGCAGCAUACCGGCGCCCAACUGACGCUGAGGCACGAAAGCGUGGGGAUCGAACAGG
This 424-nucleotide ribosomal RNA is filed under the name uncultured bacterium. Its description in RNAcentral is "bacterial SSU rRNA". It matches the Rfam family "Bacterial small subunit ribosomal RNA", at positions 355 to 776 of the family's 1533-position model. The record is from RNAcentral.